This 280-nucleotide long non-coding RNA is filed under the name Hordeum vulgare. RNAcentral describes it as "long non-coding RNA (HVUL_LNC001547)". The record is from RNAcentral. Lineage: Eukaryota; Viridiplantae; Streptophyta; Magnoliopsida; Poales; Poaceae.
UUUAGAAUUUAUGAAUUACAGUAUGAUUCAAGUAUCCUCAGAACAUGAAUUGUUCAAAAUGCAAACCAUUCCAACACUCCUAAGUUUCUUUCUACAGGUCAUUUUGUUUGUUGGGUAUAGAAGGAUGAAGAGAGAAAGGUGCAGUUCUGUGUUUGAGGCUCUUUANAUCUCCUGAAUGAAUGAUUCUCUCGCACUUUAGCCGCUCGGCCCAUUUCCGAUGAUCCGCUACAUCAUCACUGUUUGAUGACAGGUUAGAUAGACAAUAUUCAAUCUCCCAAAU